RNAcentral lists this ribosomal RNA (498 nucleotides) under uncultured bacterium. RNAcentral describes it as "partial 16S ribosomal RNA". It matches the Rfam family "Bacterial small subunit ribosomal RNA", at positions 29 to 523 of the family's 1533-position model. The record is from RNAcentral.
AUUGAACGCUGGCGGCAUGCUUUACACAUGCAAGUCGAACGGUAACAGGCCGCAAGGUGCUGACGAGUGGCGAACGGGUGAGUAAUGCAUCGGAACGUGCCCAGUCGUGGGGGAUAACGCAGCGAAAGCUGCGCUAAUACCGCAUACGAUCUAUGGAUGAAAGCGGGGGACCGUAAGGCCUCGCGCGAUUGGAGCGGCCGAUGUCGGAUUAGGUAGUUGGGGGGGUAAAGGCGCACCAAGCCAACGAUCUGUAGCUGGUCUGAGAGGACGACCAGCCACGCUGGGACUGAGACACGGACCAGACUCCUACGGGAGGCAGCAGUGGGGAAUUUUGGACAAUGGGCGCAAGCCUGAUCCAGCAAUGCCGCGUGCAGGAAGAAGGCCUUCGGGUUGUAAACUGCUUUUGUACGGAACGAAAAGGCUCUGGUUAAUACCUGGGGCUCAUGACGGUACCGUAAGAAUAAGCACCGGCUAACUACGUGCCAGCCGCCGCGGUAA